UACGGGAGGCAGCAGUGGGGAAUAUUGGGCAAUGGGCGAAAGCCUGACCCAGCAACGCCGCGUGAAGGAAGAAGGUCUUCGGAUUGUAAACUUCUUUUAUGAGGGACGAAGGACGUGACGGUGGGCUCAUGAAUAAGCCACGGCUAACUACGUGCCAGCAGCCGCGGUAAU
RNAcentral lists this ribosomal RNA (171 nucleotides) under uncultured rumen bacterium. RNAcentral's name for it is "partial 16S ribosomal RNA". It matches the Rfam family "Bacterial small subunit ribosomal RNA", at positions 340 to 524 of the family's 1533-position model. The record is from RNAcentral.